GAUGAACGCUGGCGGCGUGCCUAAUACAUGCAAGUCGAGCGAACGGACGAGAAGCUUGCUUCUCUGAUGUUAGCGGCGGACGGGUGAGUAACACGUGGAUAACCUACCUAUAAGACUGGGAUAACUUCGGGAAACCGGAGCUAAUACCGGAUAAUAUUUUGAACCGCAUGGUUCAAAAGUGAAAGACGGUCUUGCUGUCACUUAUAGAUGGAUCCGCGCUGCAUUAGCUAGUUGGUAAGGUAACGGCUUACCAAGGCAACGAUGCAUAGCCGACCUGAGAGGCUGAUCGGCCACCCUGGCACUGAGACCCGGUCCGGACUCCUACGGGAGGCAGCAGUAGGGAAUCUUCCGCAAUGGGCGAAAGCCUGACGGAGCCACGCCGCGUGAGUGAUGAAGGUCCUCGGCUCGUAAAACUCUGUUAUUAGGGAAGAACCUAUGUGUAAGUAACUGUACACAUCUUGACGGUACCUAAUCAGCAAGCCACGGCUAACUACGUG
RNAcentral lists this ribosomal RNA (497 nucleotides) under uncultured bacterium. RNAcentral describes it as "partial 16S ribosomal RNA". It matches the Rfam family "Bacterial small subunit ribosomal RNA", at positions 28 to 507 of the family's 1533-position model. The record is from RNAcentral.